Molecule: long non-coding RNA, 1555 nt
Organism: Anser cygnoides (Swan goose)
Lineage: Eukaryota; Metazoa; Chordata; Aves; Anseriformes; Anatidae
Source: Ensembl
GGCCCUGACCUGAUAAAAUCAUUCCAGGCCAAGAGCCUGUUCUGUAAUUCCUUGUUCAGUCUUUCCUUUAAGCAAUGUCUUCUCCUCCUGAACCAGAGCGCACUCUCACUGCUAUGGGCAAAGCAAGUGUUUUUCCCUGGUUCAAAACCCCUUUGUGAUGCUCUGGCCCUUCUCAGAAGAAAUUCUGAAUCAUUAUUCUUUCAGCAAAAAGCAUAUCAGAGGAGGAACCACUGCCCCUUGGAUUCAGCACAGCUGCUCCGGCACAUAGCUCUGGCUGAUUGUACUGAAGGGUCGGGCACUUCGCCACCUCAUGCAGUUUUGACAGAAAAAGGUGAUGAUGUUUGCCAGAAAGAGAAACAUGCAGGAGGGACAGAAUUGGAAGACAUAGCCAACAUCAAGGCAGGCCCACUGGAGCAGUCGUGCUAUCUCAGAAAUGGGGCAGGAAUGUGGUCCAGACACUUCAGUUGCCACCUGACCCUCUGUGUCCCGCUUGUUGGAGAAGUAAGGAGCAUUGUUUCCUGUAUGCCCAAGGCACGAAUGUCAAAACCUUGCUGAUAAAUCAUCUCUCAGGUGGGCCUUAGUGUACAGAUAGACACACAGGUGGGAUAGGGCACCAGAUCCCUCUGCUGUCCAUGCCAUGCAGCUGUGAACUCCAGUAAGCUCAGAGGAAAGUUCCCCUCACUUUAGGAAAAAGUGCUUGUAAUUCAUUCACUUCCUCACACUGUGCUGGGGCCUUGUUCAGGCCUAGCAGCCUGAAAAGUGGCCUCCUGGCUGCUUCCCAGCUCCCUGUGCUGUGGCAGAGCUGAACUGGAGCUCUUCAAGCCUUAUGGAGUCCAUAGGCACAAGAAAAAAUAGCCCAUUGAACCACCAUGGCUCAGGCAAAUCGAUUUCUAUAAUUAGGUCACAGUGGACUUUCAGAGACCUCUGCUGAGUGAUCAGGGGCAUGCAUACAGCUGGGUUCACAAAGAAGCUCUGCACUAGUCCAAGGCAAGAACUGAAUUCAACACUCUAACUUUGGAAUGAGGGAUUUUAACCCCUCUGCCUCCACACUCUUACACCACCUUCCACUGACUUAAAGCUGCAUCCAGACCUUGCCCAGUGGUGCUUGAAGGGGAACUGAGGGUUACGAUUCCCCUGUGAGGGAACAUUUUCCUAUGUGAGUUUUAUACAAUGCAUGUGGUAGACCACAUUUUCAUUCCUGAGUCACCAAGAAAUGAGGAAAACCACGCAACUGUCAGAGCUGUGCAAUAUUUCAUGGCAGGGCAGCAGCACAGGACCCAACAUGUGUGUCCUUGUUGCUCUGCCAGCGUGGCAUCCCCCUGAUCAAAGCUACAUCAUCCCAGCAAGUGCCACUGGGCUGCAGUGAGCUGGGGCAGGACAAGCAUGCCAGGUGAAUCGCCACAACUCCAGUGACCCAUCAGGGAUCCACAACACCUCGCUCCCUGCCCAGCAGACCUUGGGUCUCGUGUAAUGUUUAUGCCCCCGAAUCCUCCCAGCGUUGCCUUGUUUUUUCCAUUUCCUCCACCACCCACCAUUUCCCUCCUGAGUCCUUCCC